UACGUAGGGUGCAAGCGUUAUCCGGAAUUAUUGGGCGUAAAGGGUGCGUAGGCGGUUUGGUAAGUCUCUUGUGAAAUCUAUGGGCUCAACUCAUAGUCUGCAAGGGAAACUGCCGGGCUUGAGUGUGGGAGAGGUGAGUGGAAUUUCCGGUGUAGCGGUGAAAUGCGUAGAUAUCGGAAGGAACACCUGUGGCGAAAGCGGCUCACUGGACCACAACUGACGCUGAGGCACGAAAGCUAGGGGAGCAAACAGG
This 253-nucleotide ribosomal RNA is filed under the name uncultured bacterium. RNAcentral describes it as "partial 16S ribosomal RNA". It matches the Rfam family "Bacterial small subunit ribosomal RNA", at positions 524 to 776 of the family's 1533-position model. The record is from RNAcentral.